CCGGCGCACGGUGAGUAACGCGUAUCCAACCUGCCCACCACUUGGGGAGUAACCUUGCGAAAGUAAGACUAAUACCCAAUGAUAUCUCUAGAAGACAUCUGAAAGAGAUUAAAGAUUCAUCGGUGAUGGAUGGGGAUGCGUCUGAUUAGCUUGUUGGCGGGGUAACGGCCCACCAAGGCAACGAUCAGUAGGGGUUCUGAGAGGAAGGUCCCCCACAUUGGAACUGAGACACGGUCCAA
RNAcentral lists this ribosomal RNA (239 nucleotides) under uncultured bacterium. RNAcentral's name for it is "partial 16S ribosomal RNA". It matches the Rfam family "Bacterial small subunit ribosomal RNA", at positions 95 to 334 of the family's 1533-position model. The record is from RNAcentral.